RNAcentral lists this transfer RNA (168 nucleotides) under Lanxangia tsao-ko (cao guo). RNAcentral describes it as "Lanxangia tsaoko tRNA-Val". The stretch from base 1 to 138 matches the Rfam family "tRNA". From Rfam's summary of the family: Transfer RNA (tRNA) molecules are approximately 80 nucleotides in length. The record is from RNAcentral. Lineage: Eukaryota; Viridiplantae; Streptophyta; Magnoliopsida; Zingiberales; Zingiberaceae.
AGGGCUAUAGCUCAGUUGGUAGAGCACCUCGUUUACACGUGCGCCAAUGCUUUUCAAAGGAGCCAAUUAUGCAAUGAACAUAAUUGAUCGUAUUGAAAAAUACCGAGAAGGUCUACGGUUCGAGUCCGUAUAGCCCUAUAAUCCUAAUAUAUUUUAUAUUAUUUUAGU